GGGGGCCCGCAAGCGGUGGAGCAUGUGGUUUAAUUCGACGCAACGCGAAGAACCUUACCCAGACUUGACAUUGAUAGAAUCUGCCGGAAAAGGUGGAGUGCCCUUCGGGGCCUUGAAAACAGGUGCUGCAUGGCUGUCGUCAGCUCGUGUCGUGAGAUGUUGGGUUAAGUCCCGCAACGAGCGCAACCCUUGCCGUUAGUUGCCAUCAGGUAAUGCUGGGCACUUUAGCGGGACUGCCGGUGAUAAACCGGAGGAAGGUGGGGAUGACGUCAAGUCCUCAUGGCCUUUAUGUCUGGGGCUACACACGUGCUACAAUGGCAGGUACAAACCGCUGCAAACCAGCAAUGGUGAGCCAAUCGGAGAAAACCUGUCUCAGUUCGGAUCGGAGUCUGCAACUCGACUUCGUGAAGUUGGAAUCGCUAGUAAUCGUGGAUCAGCAUGCCACGGUGAAUACGUUCCCGGGCCUCGUACACACC
This 476-nucleotide ribosomal RNA is filed under the name uncultured bacterium. Its description in RNAcentral is "bacterial SSU rRNA". It matches the Rfam family "Bacterial small subunit ribosomal RNA", at positions 915 to 1391 of the family's 1533-position model. The record is from RNAcentral.